This 8459-nucleotide long non-coding RNA is filed under the name Populus tremula. RNAcentral's name for it is "long non-coding RNA (PTRE_LNC000032)". Lineage: Eukaryota; Viridiplantae; Streptophyta; Magnoliopsida; Malpighiales; Salicaceae. The record is from RNAcentral.
CCCUGAUGUUUUCAAGUUCUUUACUACUUUGCUGUGCAUGAAGAGCUCCUUUUGACAGCCCAAUCUGCUCCAACUCUAUCGCGACUUCUCUCAUUGUUGGCCGUUUCCUUCCAUUCAAGUUCAAGCAUCUUCUUGCAAGGUUAGCGACUGCGACAACUUCUUCUUCACGGUCCUGCCCCAUAAGUCGUUCCUCAAGAAUAUCAAAUAUCUUGUUCUCUUCCAUCAAAAGAAUAAAAUGAGUGGCUAAACUUCUCCUGUCUUCCGGCCUUUCAUAAGAAAUUGGUUUUUGCCCACUCAAGAGCUCUGCAAGAACAACACCAAAACUGUAGACGUCACUUUUUCCGGUAAACUGGCUAGACUGGAAGUACUCUGGGUCCAAGUAUCCAAAAGUGCCUUGAACAUGAGUGGUUAGAUGAGUUUGAUCAAUGGCGAUCGAUCUUGAAGUUCCGAAAUCUGAUACUUUUGCUCUGAACUUCUCAUCUAACAUUAUAUUUGUAGACUUGAUAUCACGGUAGUAAACCGGAAUGGAUGCUGCGGAAUGAAGAUAAGAAAGUGCCCUAGCAACUUCAGUAGCAAUCCUUAGUCGCAUUUCCCAUGAAAACUCGAACUCCUCCUUCUGGUCAUGAAUACACUCAAAGAGAUUUCCAUUGGGAAUGAAUUCAUAGACUAGCAGAGGAACCUCCGUCUCUAAACAACAACCUAGCAACUUGACCACAUUUCUGUGAUUGACUUGUGAAAGGAUGACGACCUCAUUGAUAAAUUCUUCCAACUUUUCUUCAUCCACCAUUUUGGAUUUUUUAACGGCAACGAUCAUUCCAUCUGCUAGCAUUCCUUUAUAAACAGUUCCUUGGCCACCUUGACCAAGUAUUCUAUUAUCAUUAAAACGAUCGGUUGCCUUUUCCAGCUCCUUGGAAGUAAAUAUUUUUGUUUUCUGAAUGCUUCCAUCACUUGAGGAUAAUUGUUGCUGCAGCAAUAAACCACCAUUUCGUUUGAAGAACUUCUUCUUCAGUUCAAUGUUCUUCUUUUUUUUUACAAGCUUGUAUAACCGCCAAAUACCAACAAGCAGCAGCAACAAUCAGUGAAAAAUUGUAGAGGAUAGGUAUAUUAAAAGGUUUCUCUGUUUCUUAAGAAAACAAUGUGAAUAUACAGCAAUGCAUCCUGCAGGGGCUGCUGGUUAUUAUAUAGCAAUAAAAGUUGCUAAAUUGGAUACAUUAAAUAGCCUAAUUCUCAGCUGAUUUACUUCCAUAAUCAGCCAACGUCUCUUUCUGUUUCUAUCUUGUCCUCCAACGUAACCUUCCUUGUUGCUGCAGUUGAUUUGUUUAUAUAAUCAACCAAUGUCUCAACGUCUGUUUCUGUUUCUGUUUCUGUUUUGUUAGCAUUAAUAUCCUCCCUCAAACUAGGUCGGGGUCGGAGGCAUAGUUUGUUCUUGAAGUAAGCCAGUGCAGUUUUUGACAUAGGUUUUGUGAAGAUGUUAGCUAUUUGGUCAUGAGUGGAGAUGUGUUGAGUAAUGAGAAGUCUAAGGGCAACACGUUCACGUACGAAAUGGUAAUCCAGCUCAAUGUGUUUGCUACGAGCAUGAAACACAGGGUUGACAGUCAUGUGCAACGCACUAAGAUUAUCACAGUAGAGGAUAGGCGGAGAAGUAUGUGAGACGUGAAGAUCUUGUAGGAUGAAGGUGAGCCAUGUAAGCUCUGCUGUUGUGUAUGUCAUAGCUCUGUAUUCAACUUUAGUGCUGGAACGAGAGAUAGUGGGUUGUUUCUUGGCACACCAUGAAAUGAGAUUGCUGCCAAGGAAUGUGUAGUAUCCGGUUGUGGAGUGUCGUGUUGUAGAGCAACCUGCCCAAUCUGCAUCGGAGAAGGCACAAAGAUCAAGUGUAGAGUGGGAAGUAAAGUUUAAACCAGUAUCAAUUGUGCCUUUGAUAUAUCUUAAGAUACGAUGAACCAUUUUGAAGUGUAUAACAGUUGGAGCAUGCAUGCAUUGGGAGACAAAAUUAACACUAUAUGAAAUUUCAGGUCUGGUGAGUGUUAGAUAUUGUAAGGCACCAACAAGCCCAUGAAAAACCUGUGGAUCUUGUAGUAAUAUAUCAGUUGCUGCAGUCUUAGUCUUGGCUUCUAGUGGUUUGCUCGUUGGUUUACAAUCCACCAUACCAGCUCGUUCAAGGAUCGUCAAUGCAUAAUGUGAUUGAGAGAGGUGAAGUCCUUCAGGUGUAUAAGUGAUUUCAAUACCUAGAAAGUGAUGAAUUAAGCCUAGAUCUUUCAUUGCAAAUUCUGAACUUAGCAAUUGAAUAAGGUUUUUCACCAAAGGAGUAGAGGAUCCUGUGAGGAGUAUAUCAUCAACAUAAAGAAGAAGAAUUAAUGUAUUAGAGUUAGAGUGAAAAAUAAAAAGAGAUGGAUCGGCAAGACUGCAAAAGAAACCAUAUUGAAGAAGAAAUAUACUAAACCGGUCAAACUAAGCACGAGGUGCUUGUUUGAGACCAUAAAGAGUCUUUCUUAGCUUGCACACAUGAGAUGGGUAUCGUGAAUAAGCUAUUCCUGGUGGUUGUUCCAUGUAUAUAUCUUCUGAUACAAAACCAUGUAGGAUAACAUUUUUAACAUCAAGUUGUCGUAUGGACCAUUUUAUGAACUAGUGCUAUGGAGAUAACCAUGCAAAUAGUUCCUGGUUUAAUAACUGGAGAAUAGGUCUCAGUAUAGUCCAAUCCAUCAAUUUGGUGAUACCCUUUUUCUACUAAUCGAGCUUUUAAGCGAUCUAGUGAACCAUCGGGUUUGAGUUUUGUUUUGAGUACCCAUUUAGAGCCAAUAACAUGUGUCGCACCCCAAAAAAAAAUGAAAAUUUGUUUUUGCGACAUUCGACUGGCGACUUUCGUUUUGUUUUUUUUUUUUUGCUGAUUUAGUUCUUUGGAGUCGCCACCUAGUAUUUUGGUCACUAGGAACCCUAACUGGUCUUUCAGAGAUUCUAAGGCAAGGGACUGGUUGCGUAAAGGGAAGGUAUUAACACCCCUAGUACGCCCUACCUAAGGUAAGCUGCUUGGUGUUUUGGUUUGCUCUAUAAUUGCUAUGGUGUUGGUAUUUUCUAGGCUCGUCAAUUGAUUUUGGAUAGAAAUCUAAGGAGAUUCCAUGUGCUUUGAAAGCUCAUUUUUCCCUUAGUAUUUCAAGAGUUUGCGACUCAUAAAUCGUGGAAAAAAAAAAUUAAAAUUUUGAAAUGUCCUCAAUUAUAAUCAAGGCUUCUUUCAAGAAUGUGUGCGGAUUUAUUACUCCCAAUAAUAUUUUGGAUAUUCAUCCUUUUAAGGAUUUCUUUAUCCAAACAUUAGCGGUGAAUAAUAAAUAAAUUUCCUCCCAAAAAUAAGAUUUUUAUAGUUUUUGGAAUAUUGGCCAAUACCCUUUGGAGUUUUACAAACAUGUUGUAAAAUCCAGAAAUGCAAGAAAAUAAUUUGUGUUUAAGAAAUCUAUGCGAAAACACACUUUCGAAGAUUCCAAUAUAUUUUUUUUAUAAAAAGAACAUUCAAAACAUGUUAGAGUAUUGGCCGUAUGCAACACGCAAGAAAACAUUUUGUUUUUUUGUAAACAAUAUAUUUUUUGUUUUGACGAAAUCGGGUAUUUUAAUACUGAAUUUGUAUUUCCACAGCAUAAAAAUACAAACUAAUAUUAAGUCAUUUUAAAAAGAUGUACGAAAAAAAUCAACAAUAUUUUUAAGGAAAUUUAGAAAUUUUUUGAAAGCAAAAAAAAAAUUUAUCUUUGAAAAUUUUGGGUGUCUCGACGAAAAUCGGAUAUUUUAAAUACUGAAUUUAUACCUCCACAGUAUAAAAAAAAAAUACAAACCCCCCUAAAGAAAAAUAUGUAUAUAUGAAAAGAAAACAACAACAUUUUUUUAGAUUUUACAGAUUUUGUUUUUUUUUAAAUAUAUAUAUAUAUAUACACACAUAAUAUAAUAUAAUAAUAUAAUAUAAUUAUAAUAUAUUAAGGGGGUUGGGCCGGCCCAACUAACUGGGCCGAACUCAGCCCCAAAAAUCGUUGGGCCGGAAUUGGCCAAAAGGGAUGGGGCCGACCCCGGCCCAGACCACCGGGUUGGGCCAGAAUCCCUCUGGCCCAACCACAUGUUUCUGGGCCAGAAUCCGUCUAGCCCAGAGAAGAAAAAAAACACAGCACGGGGGGGAAUUAUUUCCCCCCCCCGCCUCCUGCAUGCAGAACGAUUCUGCAUGCAGGAGGCAAAAAAAACACUUACAACUUUUGAAAAGAAAAAUGUGCAGGGGGGAGCGUACCUGGUGCGGCGGAGACGGUGGCUUGUUGGCGAGGCUGCGGUGGAGGCGGUGGCAGAGUCCUAGCUCACGGACGGCGACUCCUCACGACGAUUUGCCAAACAGUCCGGUGGCGUCCUCUCAGGUCGUUUGCUUGGUUUUCGUUUCUAAGUUUCUUCCCAGUUUCAAAUUUUCACUCUUCUCUCGUUUUUUUAGUUUUCGUUGGCUCUCUCUCCUCUGGUGGGUGUUUCUCUCUCUUCCUCUCUCUCUUCGAUUUUUCUUAGUUUUCUUCGGGUUCCUCUUCUGUUCUUUUUUUUCGUGCUCAUCGGUGUGCUGGGUUAGGCGUUAUUUAUAGAACCAGUGGACGUGGCUUCAACGUGGAGCCCAGGAGCGGGUCGGGGAGCGGCUGUCCAGGCGGGCCUCCCUCGGCUUCGGCAACGCGGUGGGUGGUCAGCCAUUGUCUUCUGUAGGUGGCCCACCGGCGUGGGGCCUCGGUCGGUGGCAAGAGGGACCUGCAAAAAAAAUAAAAAUACAAACUUUUCCUUCUUCCCCGCUGUAAUGUUCGGGGGAAGAAGAAAGUGAACAGUGCCGUUCAAAACGGCACUGUUCGGUUUUUUUUUUUUUUUAUGCAUGAAACGGCGUCGUUUUGGAUAAAACGCGCCGUUUCAUUUUAAAAAAAAGGCGCCAUAACAUUUUUUGAAUCAGUCCUUAAUUUGUCAUUUGUUCUAUUAAGUCCUUCAAUCGAGUCCUUCAAUCAAGAAUAAAAUUCAAUUGCGUCCCUGCCAAAUUCGGUCCCUACCCCUAUAGUUGGCCGCGUUUUUCACUUUGGUCCUUGGGCUCUGAUUUUCACAAUUAAGCCCCUAAUUGAUCGAUAAACUUCCAAUUUCUUCAAUUAAGCCCCUGAAACAAUUCCAAACAGCCCCCUCUAUCUUUGCGCCUUCUCCAAAUUGGUCCCUGGUUUCAGAUUUUCACAAUUAAGUCCCUAAUUGGCCAUUAAACUUCAAUAUUUAUGCAAUUAAGCCCCUGAUUUGACCUAAUAAAUUCCUAAAAAAUAUAUUUUGGCCCCAGAACUUAAAUUUCUUCUAAUUAAAGCCCAAAUUGACUUAAAAAUCAAUUUUUCUUGCAAUCAAAUCUUCUAUAAAUUCAAAUAAAAAUCCAAUUAAGUCCAUAAACAUCCAAAUUUGGGCUUUUCUCCUCAAAAUUCAAAUUUUCCUUCUCAAUAGGGCUUUCAUCCUUUAAGAAUAUACUGUCAAAAAUUCAAUCCUUGUAUUUUUAAAUUCCUUUACCAAUUUUCUGACUGUUUUCUGAGCGCUUCUGCCUCCUGUUAUUUUUUCUAAGCUCUUUUGGCUAUUUAUUUUAUUUUUCAUGGGGACCCAAAAAUGGGUUACAACAACAUGCAUGGCUUUUGUGCGAGGGACAAGCUCCCAAGUAUGAUUUCUAUGAAGAGCUUCCAAUUCCUCUUCCAUUGCAGCUUUCCAACCAGGGUGAGCUAAAGCAGACCGAAAGUUAGAAGGCUCACGUGGGAUGGUUGUUGAGGACUUAAAGGAUGUUAACUUAUAUUUUGGAUUAGGCUUAAGGAUCCCUUUCAGUGAUCUUGUUACCAUUGUAUGUGAGAGAGGAGGCUCACAUGGAGAAUGCACAAGUUGCGUGUCUGAUUCCAAUAAAGCAGGAUUGGAUGGUGAGAGAGAUAGAUGUUGCAAUUGUGUGUCAUCUUCAUUGUCAGAUUCUACCAGUUGUUUUUCAAUUAUGUUACCAUUAUUAACAUGUUGCUCUGUAGUUGCAAUAGUAAAAACAGAAUGGUUGUUAGAUGUGUUGUCAGUGAUACGAGGCAUUGAUGUAGACUCUGAUUGGGAGGGGGGAAAGUGGAGUUCUACCAUUCCAUUGUCAUUGUUAUGUUCAACCAGCUGUGUUCCAGUCACAUUAUCAUCACUAACAUGUUCUGUAAUUGUAGUAGUAAUAGCAUAAUCAUCAUGUAAAGGAAAAGAAGAUGAUAGGGUAUGUUGUAAUGAGCUUAAGCAUGGUGGAGGAGACAUUACAGGUUGUAUGUCUACAGCAGACUUAGAGAUAAUAGGUGGUAACCAUGAAUCAAAGAUGCUCAUAGCAUGUGUAGGGGACGAGGUUAUGUAAUUCUGAAGUUUUUGCUUAUAAUGAAAAGAUGACUCAUCGAAGACUACAUGACGAGAAAUAAGCAUUUUUUUACUAGGAGGAUGAAAGCAUUUUUAUCCUUUAUGUUUGUCACUAUAUCUUACAAAAAUGCAUAGAGCUGUUUUAGGGUCAAAUUUGUUUUGUUUUGUAUCCCAAGUGUAGGGAAAACAUUUGGACCCAAAGACUCUAAGGGAUGAGUAUGUAGGAUGAUUGCCAUGCAACAUGAAAUAUGGAGAUUCAAAGUUAAGUGCUGAUGAGGGCAAUCUAUUCAUACGAUAAACAGCAAUAAUGAAAGCUUCAACCCAUAGAAAUAAAAGAGCAUUACUAUGAAAAAGCAUAGUCAUACCUAGUUCCUGUAUUACUCGAUGUCUGUGUUCUACUAUACCUAUUUAUUCUGGUGUAUAAGGACAUGAUAUUUGGUGAAUCACUCCUGUUGAGAGAAAGUGUGAUGAUAGUUUGGAAUUUAUAAAUUCUCCUCCUCCAUCAGAGUGAAAGACCUUGAUAUGUUUGUUAAAUUGCCUAGUAACAUAAUGUUCAAAAGCAAGAUAAGCAUAUGCAAAAUCAGACUUAUGUAGUAAAGGGAUUAUCCAAGUAUAUUUAGAAAAAUCAUCGACUAAACAAGCAUAAUAUCUGAAUUUUCCUAUUGAUAAAACAGGAGCAAGUACCCAUAAAUCACAAUGAAUUUUUUCAAAAAUACCAGAACUUGAGUGUUCAGAAUGAAAAAAAGGUAAUCGACUAAGUUUUCCAAAUUGACAGCUAUCACAAACAUGUUCAUGCUUUAUAGUUCCUUUAACAUCUAUCAAGCUUUUAUUGUGCAAUAAUUGUAAAGUAGAGAGGUGCGGAUUUUCUAAACGAUAAUGCCAGAUAUCUACUAGUCCUGAUCUGAAUCGAUUAGAGAAAUAGAGCUCAGGCAUGGUGGAAAGAGUAUAGAGAUCACCCUUGCGACAUCCUGUGAUCACGGGUUGUCUUGUCUGUUGUUCCUUAAUAUAGAAAUCAACGUCCACUACCAGAAAUUCGCUUAAUAGCAACGGAUUUACCGACAUAAUAUUUUUAUCUGUAAUUUGAGGUUGAAAUUACCGACGGAAUUUAUCCGUCCAUAAUUCAGUCGGUAACUACCGACAAAUAGUGUCUGUCGGUAGUUACCGACCGAAUUACGGACGGAUAGUUCAGAAUUAAAAAAAAAAGCGGGUCGCUGACAUGGAGGUUUUUUCCGACGGAUUCAAAACGACAGACCUGUACAGUGAUGCGACCGGUUCACCGUUGAAAAUACCGAUGGAAUGACCGAGGGAUGUGGAAAGGCAGAUCUGUACGGUGACAUGUCUAUUUUUGCCAAUAGAAAAGCGACGGACACACUGACGAAAAUAUCCGUCGGUGAAACCAUCGGAAAAAGUUUAGUUUAGGAACGUCUGAUGAAGGGAUCGGAAAUACAACAAGAAAAUCUUAAAAUUGUCUAAAACUCAUGCAAAUCAAAUGAACAUAAAUCUUAAUCACCAUGUUUCGUGAGAAAUCAAUGGCUAGCCAUCCAAAGAUGGAGCCGUGCCGUUUCUAAAAUCGCCAAUUGUUACUGAAGUAGGAGGCCCAACAAUUUCCCAUACGUUGGGAACUCCAUCCCUGAUGUGUUCAAGUUCUUUACUGCUUUGUUGUGCAUGAAGAGCUCCUUUUGACAGCCGAAUCUGCUCCAACUCCAUCGCGACUUCUCUCAUUGAUGGUCGUUUCCUUCCAUUCAAGUUCAAGCAUCUUCUUGCAAGAUUAGCGACUGCGAUAACUUCUUCUUCACGCUGCCCCAUAAGUCGUCGUCAAGAAUAUCAAAUAUCUUGUUCUCUUCCAUCAAAAGAAUAAAAUGAGUGGCUAAACUUCUCCUGUCUUCCGGCCUUUCAUAAGAAAUUGGUUUUUGCCCACUCAAGAGCUCUGCAAGAACAACACCAAAACUGUAGACGUCACUUUUUGCGGUAAACUGGCUAGACUGGAAGUACUCUGGGUCCAAGUAUCCAAAAGUGCCUUGAACAUGAGUGGUUAGAUGAGUUUGAUCAAUGGCGAUCGAUCUUGAAGUUCCAAAAUCUGAUACUUUUGCUCUGAACUUCUC